ACUUGAUCUUGGUUUAAAAGAUCUUUAAUUCGGAUCUUCAACGUAGCUUAAAGCUCCAGAAAUUGUAGUUAAAACUCUGGAAAACUAGAACUGGGACUAAAUUACAUUUUGCAUCCGAUUUUGUAGGGAUUUGUCUUAUAAUUGCAUUGUCGCAAAUGACAAAAUUAUCUGAUAUUAACUAAGAAUAUGGUAGAGGUGUUGCCUCAUAAUUAACGAUAAGAAAAUCAUUCCUAAGAGACUUGUACAACAAUUAAGGUACGAUAUAUAAGGUAACACAUGGUUGUCAAAAGGUCAACAGGUACAUCAGUUUAUACGACUUAGAUCAAUAUUUAAAUACGCUAUGAACUUAAUAAACAUCCUGUGGUGAAGAGUCAUACACGCCAUAACCUAACCCAAGGUUACACAACUUUGACCUUAAGUGAACGUGAACGAAUCAUAUGACUAACCUUUUUUAUCUUGCCUUUGAGAAUAACGCAGGCUUGUAUAUCGCACAAAAUACAUGCNCAAACCUUUGUUAAUAAUUAUUGAGUAAUUGUCGUAAUAAAAACAUUAAAAAAAAUUAUAAAAAAAUAUAUGUUGGAAUUUCUGUCCCUUAACAUGUUUCCCUCCUUGGAUUCUUGCCUCCUGGCCAGUUAAAGAAAACAAACUAAAACGUUUUAAGGAGCAUGUUAGUGGCUUUCAUGAAUGCGAUACAUGUAACAUCAAUGUGCGUAUUCUAAACUAUGGUUCCAUAAUGAUCAUGAUAAUGGUGAUUUAAAACAGAAUUUCCUAAAACAAUUUAAGUUGGGUGUACCUGUUGAAUUGGCCUUUUUUAAAAAAACGAAAAGAAAAAUACGAGUAAAUCUAAAUUCCGGUUAUAGAAUUCCAAGUAAUUUAAAAGAAAAUCAACCUGUUUUUUUUUUUUGGUGGAUUAAAAACAUUAUAGAAAUUUGGGCUAGUGCAGUAGCCACCGGAGGGAUUUUUUAAACUAGAAAAGUCACGAUAACAUGUCUUGACCUAUAAAAAGGCAUCUGGUUGUUCUGACAAUGUUUUUGAUGUGCAUGUUCUGUAAAAACAGUCAGAAAAUGUGUAAGUGUUCAUACUGUCCUUAAUCUUGUUUUGGAAAUCCUGUGGUCUUGUGGGUUUCCUGUGGGUGGUUGUGGUUUGGCGUUUGCCAUUUUGGUUGUUCUGUUAAAAUCCAGGUCAUCCGGACAAAAGUAGUAGGCAAAGGGUCGUGUAGAAUCAUCAGUACAGUCGAGUCAGGUCGGAUAUUAAUGUUAGGUCGGUUUUUGUUGGAGUGGGAAUAAUUUGCAGUUCAUUCGUGAGCACCUGGGCGAUCAACGUGGAGAGCUGUCAACAUCGGUGGUUGUCAAUGGCUUAUUACAUCGUGAACAACAUUCCAUUUCGAGGCUUCCGUCGCCUUUAUGAUAUCGUACAAUGUUGUUUUAGGUAUCACAUGAUUUAAAACACAGUAUGCGACGUAUGAAACAUACGAGGAGAGCCAAGAGAGCUAUAUUGACAAUGGCGAAGGUGAGUGCUGCCCAUGCGAUGAUUUGCAUCGCAGAAGUGACUGAUGUUUCUUGAAUUGUAUUGAUAUUCCACUGUGGGAAUGCCUGGAAUCUUAACUUUGCCUUCAAUGGCACAUUUGCCAUUUUUUUCCCACUGUUUUUCCAGCAAAUGUAAUUACUGUUGCAAUUUGCUGCAAAAGUUUUUCCACUGUAGGAAUGCCUGCAAUUUUAACUUUUCCUUCAAUGGGACAUUUGCCCCCUGGAGAGUGAUCUGAAAAACGAGGGUAUAAUACAAGAGUAAGUACAAGACAGUACUAAAAUCAGAGGUGAGUAAAAGAUGCUAAUAUUAUUGUCCUUAAUUGUUUGAAUUUUCCUGUUCAAGGGUCCAAGGGUCUGUUGAAGCAGAGGUGUGGACCAACUUUGAAAGAGCGGUAGUGAAGGUCUAACGUAGUGCGAUUGGAUGGGACUGUCCAUGGGAUGUAGCGUAUGACCUUGCUACUGAAGAUUUGAAUAGACAUUGUUAAUGUUCAUGGACAUUGUCCAAAACCAGUAGACAGAAAGAAUCGUCCACCAAGAUGAAGUAAUGGUUGGAAAUCAUCACAUUUAACUGAUAAAUGGUUUCUUGUGAAAUUAUAAGUUGACCCUGGAGUCCGAUUAAUACCAAGCCACGUAAUAUCUUUAGUAUGCUGUAGUAUGGUCUCGGGGCAGAGGCAAGUGCCUUCUAGACUAUAACAUUGUGUUAGUACAUCAGGUCUUAGUACAAGCUUUUGUUUGGGGCAAGUUAUUAAAACUAAAUCGUUAUAUGAAAGAGGACAAGUGUAACAUUUGCGUUUUUGUUGAUAUUUGAUUGGUACAAGUGAUUCCAGAGUAGAAAGAGAAUUUUCGAUUUAAUUAUUGGAACAGAAGUUAAGGUAUGAAGCGAAAUAUGUUUAUCACGAUGUUCCUAUUUAGUUUAUGGUUUUAUAAACAACGGAAAUCCGUCUUCUAAAAUUGCUGAUGAAAAAGAAAGUUCAUUUUGUACCUUGAAAUUUGCAGAAAUAAAAGAUUGUGGUAAA
Molecule: long non-coding RNA, 2542 nt
Filed under: Exaiptasia diaphana
Lineage: Eukaryota; Metazoa; Cnidaria; Anthozoa; Actiniaria; Aiptasiidae
Description: uncharacterized LOC110232684
Source: RNAcentral